GACGAACGCUGGCGGCGUGCUUAACACAUGCAAGUCGAACGGAAAGGCCCUGCUUUUGUGGGGUGCUCGAGUGGCGAACGGGUGAGUAACACGUGAGUAACCUGCCCUUGACUUUGGGAUAACUUCAGGAAACUGGGGCUAAUACCGGAUAGGAGCUCCUGCUGCAUGGUGGGGGUUGGAAAGUUUCGGCGGUUGGGGAUGGACUCGCGGCUUAUCAGCUUGUUGGUGGGGUAGUGGCUUACCAAGGCUUUGACGGGUAGCCGGCCUGAGAGGGUGACCGGCCACAUUGGGACUGAGAUACGGCCCAGACUCCUACGGGAGGCAGCAGUGGGGAAUAUUGCACAAUGGGCGGAAGCCGGAUGCAGCAACGCCGCGUGCGGGAUGACGGCCUUCGGGUUGUAAACCGCUUUCGCUCAUGACGAAGCUUUGUGUGACGGUAGUGGGUAAAGAAGCACCGGCUAACUACGUG
Molecule: ribosomal RNA, 469 nt
Filed under: uncultured bacterium
Lineage: Bacteria
Description: partial 16S ribosomal RNA
Rfam family: Bacterial small subunit ribosomal RNA
Source: RNAcentral